Molecule: long non-coding RNA, 5040 nt
Organism: Olea europaea var. sylvestris
Lineage: Eukaryota; Viridiplantae; Streptophyta; Magnoliopsida; Lamiales; Oleaceae
Exons: 2
Source: RefSeq, a predicted model, not a curated record
AGAAAAAGAAAAACUUUCUCUCAUUCUUUUGACUCACCAUCCCGUUCCCGUAAGAUACAGUAGAUUUCCUAGGGUUUGGUCUGCCUUCCCGUUCGUAGAUUGAAGACUCUCGAAGGCUUAUCCUCAUCUCCUAUUUUCUACUCUAGAUAUUUCUUUUGCGGGCUUUCACUAAAUCAUUGUUGCUUCUGCUUUAUUGGGCACUAUAGCUAGCGUUCUUCACCCAUACUAUAUUAUUUUUGCUUUAUUAACCCAACCCCUUAUUUAGUUAGUUUGCUGGUUUUUUAAUGUGCCCUCGAUUUGUUGUUUUUUGCUUAAUAGAUGAUAACCCAUUUAGUUUUUCUGCAAAAAUGUACAUUUAAUUCAGUGUGACUAUUUUUCUUGUUCUAUUUGUGUUACUGAAUUGGGUAAAACCCGUUUGGUGGAUUUUCCUUGGAAGCGUGAUUUAUCCGUACGCUUUGCAUGCGAAUGUGUUGUUUUAUUUGUUCGGAUUGGUGAUAAAUUGGGAGGUUUUGAAUGAGGGACAACUGGACAAGAGUGUGCGAUGUGGUAAGAAAUGAAGUUUGGUGAUUUUGAGAGAUGGGGUGUGUUUUUGGGAAAGAGAAUGUCAUUUGGGCCUCCUAUUGACCAGGUUGUAGCUUGGAACGGGAGAGGGAAUGGGGGAGAGAGAGAUUCGGCUACACCGUUGGGGAGAAGAGAGAAAGUAGUAGUUGGUUCGUGUAUCAUCGACUUCUCAUUUAUGUCCCCAUAUACUUCAUCUCCUUCUUUUAGGCCUUUUACUUGACUAUCAACUUUAACCACCACACCAGCAACAUCAUAGCCUUGAAUAGUCUACCGGGGGGAAAAAAGAUCAAUACAUUAAGUGGGCACAUUUUUUAGGUGAUAAAAAUUGUAAAUUUCACUUUCUGAAUCAGUAGAUAUUGCAAUUUCAGCAUGAGCAUAUAUGAUUCUAGCUUAGCUUACAUAGAAACUUUCUAUCAAGGAGUGAACUUAGCUAUUCAUCAAGUCUUAUUCCAUAUAAAUUUGGAGUGUGCUACAUGAUUUUUUUCCCCUUUUUUUCACUAGUUAAGUUCACAGUUGAAUAAAAUCUGUAGGGAAAAAGAAAGAGAGGGAGUACGAGAAAAUUACAGGAAGGGUGUGAAUCAAUGGCCUUAAAUUGCCCAAGCCGCCUUUUGUAAUAUACUGGAUUAAUAGAUGCUGUCACCACCUUGAUCAAGACCUGAUCAUUCUUCACUUCCGGCACUGCAACUUCUGACUCGGACUUCAACACCUCAACCCCGCCAUACUCAUAGUAAAUCCAGGCCUUCAUUUUGGAUGGUAUAGGAGAAGACACUGACACGAACAGCUUGCGAGCUAGAAAAAUGGGAUUCUUGUGGUUUUAUAUUCAGAUUGUGGCCGGGAAAUAUGGUGUGUUUUCAGUUUGGAAGUUCCGUAAGAGUGUUUACCACAGAUGACUCCAGAAAGCCUUUCAGACCUUUUUACAAGCCUGUAAUAAAGUCUAUGUUCAACCUAUUCAUUUAAAAGUUGUUUCAAGUAUUGUUUGACAAAUCUUUUGAUAAAAAUUGAAGUAAUAUAUGAUUAAUAAAAUUGAUAAAAGUUAUGAAAUAGAAGCCAUGUGCAUGAAAUUAUGGGGACAAGUUAUCCUGGAAAAAAAUCUCCAAAAUAUCAAGUGUGUUCUUUUAUCUUAUCAUUUAAAAAAAUUGGAGUAGGGCCUUUGUUUUGUUCUUGUUUGUUACGUAAUUAUUUUCAUGUAUCUUUUUGUUCUGGUUGUGUUUGCUUGCUUACUUAUUUAAGCUUGAUUUUUUUCUUCCUUAACGUGUCUGCCUGGAAUAACAUUUAGUCCAUUAGGCAAACAAUCGAGCUUGCAACUUUAUCUGUUUAAUAUCCAUGUUAUUGAAUCAAGAUCUCCAAGUUAAUACAUAGCAAAUUUUCCUCCAAAGAAAAUUUUGGCUUUUCCCUGGAUAUUCUUUCCCAAUAAACCAACAUGAAGAAAAAAAUAAUAUUAGCUUGCUAUCUUCUCUUAAGCAAAAACAUACCUUGAAGCAAAUGAGUUUACAAAUGUCAUAGGCACCGAGACAACAGUAAUAUAAUUCUGGUGUUUACUAUGAAUAGCCAAAUUGCUUCUGUUACCCUCGGAUGUAAUAAGCUCACCCCUGAAAUCUAAAAAUCAACAAAAUAAUGAAUCUAUCAAUUUAAAAUCAAAAUUUCAAACGAGCCCACAAGAGUGAAGCUCCUGAAGACCUCAACAAUUGAAAUAGGAUAAUUAAAAACCACAUGUACUAAUUGAUAAAAUUAAAGUUUUAUAUUUUAGUUUUGCUUAACAUGUUCUGGUAAGGCACUUCUAAUAUGUUAUGUGUUGCUUAAUUUGAUGUAUAUUCAAUAUAGCUUUAACAUGGGUGGUCACAGAGCUAAGAAUAAGGAACCAAUGUUAUGGUCGGACGAGAAUGAACACGCUUUUAUCGAAAUUCUUUACGAAAAGGUGAAAUCAAAUGCAUUACAAUGUUCUACGUUCACGAAAGACGAAUAGGGCAGGAUCAAUGAAGCUAUGAUAGCUUCAACAAAAAUGGAUGACGGCAUAGAUAGAUUAAAGAGAAAGUGGAACCGCUUACGUAAAAUUCAUCGCAUGUUCUUUGAACUUUUGGAACAUACAGGUGUUACAUAGAAUCCAAAUACCAACAAAGUUAAUGCUGCAGAGGAGGUUUGACAAUACUUUUAUACGGUAACAUAUAUUUAUUAAAGAAUAUAUUCGUCAUUAGUUUUUAUCUUAUCAAUUUUACAUUUUUUUGUUGAACACUAUGUGGCUUCUUUUUUCAAUGAUAGAUUAACAAGUCGGAUUAUAAGAUGUUCAAGAGGGAAGGAUGUAAGUACUACCACACUCUUAGGGAGAUAAUUAGCGAGACUAUAGCUAUUGGAGGAUUAGGCAAUGCCUUUACUCAACUUCCAAACACAUCAGAGGAAGAAAGGUAGCUAGAAGAUUUUUUGAACAGGAUAGCGCAUGUACGUGCAAAAAAUGAUGAUGAAGUUGAUGAGGUUUCAAGUACUCUCGACGUGAUGAAAUUGGUACAUCGGGUGAACACCGACGUAAGGAACAUAAGAUCAGUAAAAGUAAUAAACUCGAGGUCUGCAUGGCACAGUGAUCAUCAAUAGUUAGUUUGAUGAAUGAAGAAACUAAACCUAAAACACUUUAUCUAAAAGAAAAGCUUGCAAAGAUCCAAGAAAAAUCAUGUAAUCGAUCGGAUAAUAAAGUUAAUAGUCCGGAUUCUUAUUCAAAUGUUAUUUGCUUGAACAUCUUAAAUUAUAUGGAAGGGGUGUCCAAUGAGAUUUAUAUGAAAGCAAUAAAAGCUUUAAGGAUCCCGAUUUCAAGGUGUCAAUUGUAAAAAUGUUAGAAGCAAGGAGAGGACCUAUUUUCGAACUACUUUGAUGUGAUUGUUGUUUUAAUUUCUCUAGUAUCGUGUUGUCUUAAUUUGAUAUGUUGAUGGUUGAAAUACUGUGUUAUUUUCACAGCUUGAAGAACUUUUUUUCCUUUCGUGGUGAUGAUGUACUGUUUUUUGAACUUACAAUUCGGUGAUGAUGUUGGUUGGAGAAUUGAUGUUAAUUUUUCUUUAGUUUCUGAAUGCUUGAUCGCUUGUUUUAUUUGAAAGAAUGAUGGUUGAUAUGACUUAUGAUAGUUGUUGUGGUUAUAUUUUGUUCACAUUAUGACCAAUAAAUCAAAUGUGGAUGAUAAUGUGAGUACUGAUGAUUCUAUUGACGAAGAUUCGAGAGAUGAUGAUUUCUAUGUAAGGAUGAUUUUGACUCAAAUUUUGGAAAUUUGAUGAUGUUUAAUUGCUUUGUUGCCAACAAAGGAAGUACCAUUGGUGAGAGACCUUGCAGAACAUCAUUGCUCAUGGGAAACAUGUACAUGCUAAAAAUUCUGAAUGAACAUCUGAACGUGUGCUAUCAUAAUUUUUGUAUGCAGAAACAUGUUUUUAAUAAUUUUUGUAAUAUUUUGAAAGAGAAAGGGUUGCUGAAAGAUGGGAAAAAAGUGAGCAUCGAGGAGGGUGUUGCUAUGUUUUUGAUAAUUGUAGGGUACACUACACGAUACAGUGUCAUUGGUGAUAGGUUUCAAUAUUCCAACAACACAAUACACAAAUGAUUCAAACGAGUUGUAAAGGUUGUUUGUUCAUUUGGCACUGAGAUAAUCCGUCCGACAAAUCAAGACAUUGUGCAUGAGCAGAUUUUACGCAAAUAUCCUUUCUUUAAGGAUUGUAUAGGCGCAAUAGAUGGAACACAUGUUACAGUUUGGGUUCCUGCAUCGAGAUAAACGUCUUUUCGUGAAAGGAAAACUAAUAUAACACAAAAUUUGAUGUUGACAUGUGAUUUUGAAAUGAAAUUCACAUUUGUGUAUUUUGGUUGGGAAGGUACUGCUAGUGAUUCGUGAGUAUUCGUUGACGCAAUCACGAGAAGCUCGAAUAACUUUUCAAUGCCAUAUGGAGAUCAAUUUUACCUUGUUGAUUCUGGAUAUCCAAACAUGUCUGGAUUUCUUGUCCCUUAUCGAGACUAAAGAUAUAAUCUUCAUGACUAUGUUGGAUGGGAAAGACUAUAUGGGAAGGAAGAAUUGUUCAACUAUAGACAAUCAUCGUGUCGUAACAUUAUUGAACGUUGUAUUGGAGUUUUAAAGGCAAGAUUUCCUAUUUUGAAGUUGAUUACAAAUUAUCCACUUAGUAGAUAAAGACAAAUUCCUACUCCAUGUUGCACAAUUAACAACUUUAUUCGUCAGGAGCACGUUUUAGAUAAGUUGUUCAUUGAGUAUUCAGAGGAGAAUACGAUGUUUCAAAAUAUACCGGAGUCAAAUUAAGAUCAAGAAGUCAGAUAUUUUGAUGCUAGUCAAAUAGUUCCAAUGGGACAAGUCAGGGAUCAAAUUGCUAUACAAAUGUGGAAUGACUACUUAAGACAUUGUACAUAAUUCCGCGGAUGUUUUUAUAUUAUGUUUAGUAUGUGUUUAUUUUGUCAUGACAUGUAAACUUCUAAUAGUAUCUAUUGAACUGUGUUGCCAAAUUUAAUUUA